GCGGCGGCCGUCUGGUGCGGCGGGGGUUCCGCGCGCUCCCGGGAGCCGGGCGGGCCUGCAGACCGCCGACGCCCCCGUCGUCCCCGAGAGCCCCCUGCCGGCACCCCCCCACCCUCCUCCCAGGACCCGGCCCGCCAAGACCCGGCCCGCCGACCCCAGGACCCGCCUCCCAGGACCCGGCCCGCCGUCCCCCCUGGACCUGCCCGGCAGCCGUGUGUUCUCAGCACGCUCCACACCCGACAUGGAACCUAACGUGGGGCUCACUCGUGACCAUUAGAUGAAGACCUGAGCUGAAAUCAAGAGUCACUUCACCGACUGAGCCACCCAGGUGCCUCCAUAUAAGAAAAUAUCUUAAAAAUAUUGAGAAGCAGGCAGUGGCAAGGCUGGGACCGGUGCCCAGGACAACAUGAAUUUCCAGUCCCCUCUGUUGCUUUGGACCUGACGGUCCUGACUUUGGAGUCGUGGGAUCAAGCCCCAGCUAUUGUCUGUCUCUCAUUAUCCCUAAAUGGUGAAGAUCACCAACUAAAGGAAGCUUAAGGAACAUGAACUUUGGGGUUGUUUGACAGGCUGAUUUGCUGCCUGGUAAAGUGCUUUAGGCAUUGUGAGUACUCAGUAAAUGCUGGAGAGUGGUUGGACGUGGGGCAGGUAGUGGAAGUGAUUUGGAGAAAUGGGAGACAGAAUGAACUUGAUUGAGGUAUGGAGAGGCCUCUAUAGGUAGCCAAUAUGCCUCCUGAUCCAAAGGACAUGAAAUUGAGGAAAAAAAUAUAUAAAGGAAAUUUCUCCAGAAACCAAAAAGGACCAGAGCAGGGUGGGAUCCCUGACCAGGGCCUCUGGAUGGGCAGGAAUGCAGGCAAGCUGACCCUGAAGCCGCACCAGGGUCCACUCUCAGCCCAGGUGGAAAGGAGAGGUUGGACACUCAGGUGCAUUAGCCAGACCGCUGCCGCAAGGGCUCAGACUGUUGGCCUUACUUGACAAAGGCUGACCCUGGGGCUUGGGGAGGUCACACUGCCUAGAGGCAGCUGGGAUUCAGCCUUCAGGCAUUGGCCCCAGAGCCUGCGUUCCUCAUCCCUACUGACUGCCUCUCUGCGUAGUUUUAGGGUUUCCCUGAUAGGGCUCCAUGAGGGGGGGGCGGCGAAUAAAGGGGCGAGGAUGUGAGUGAAGCACAAGCCAGGAAUGUCAGAUGCAACAGCCCAGGACCCGCAGGGAGGCGGCGUGGCUGGGGCCGGAGAGACGUGAGGCAAGUAACAGUGAGCUCAGAGAGCCUGCAGGGCCAGGCCCAUGGAGCCCCAGGGGACACGUUACUAUGAAGCUGCACAAGCGUGGCUGCAGGUGCAGAGGGUCAGACAUCUGCAUAAUGCCCACUGCCUUCAGUAAGUGGCUGUGGAGACAGACCCCGAGUGGCCCCCGUGAUCUCUGCCCACUCUCAUCCCCUCCUGUGAUGUGGGCUGGCCCGUGGCUCCCCUCUAGCUAGUAGAAUACUACAGAGAUGUGGGGAGUGUACAAGAUGUAAUUAAGGUUCAAAAUCCGUAGAUUUUGAGUUAAUUGGAAGGGAGGUGAUCCUGGGUGAGCUUGGCUUAGAUAACAGCCCUUUCAAGGGGGACUUGGUCUCUUCUGAGGCUAGAAACUCACUCCUGCCAUCCUUGCAGAGGCAAACAGCCAUGUUGUCAAUGGCCUCUGGGGACGGCCCCGGGGCAGGGGACCUCUGGCAGCUUUUAGGAUCUGAGGGUGGCUGAAACAGCCAGUAAGAAGCUAGGGAAGUGAGUCCAUCCAACAGCCCAACGGCCCAGCAGUGAAUCUUUCCCCACUCGGGCUUCCAGGUGGGUACACAGCCUGGCCACAUGUUGGCUACUGGCUCAUGAAUUGUUUUAAGUUGCUCAAUCUGUGGUACUUUGUCGUGUAGCCUAGCAAAUGAAUACAGUAGGAGAUUUCUAACAUACGUGUAUGUGUUGAUUUUCCCAGCACAAAUGGGGACCGGCAGGUAGAGGGAGUGGGAGAAGCAGGCUCCCCAUUGAGCAGAGAGCCUGACAUGGGGCUUGAUCCCAGGACUCUGGGAUCAUGACCUGAGCCAAAGGUAGACGCUUAACCAUUUUUUUAAAAGAUUUUAUUUAUUUAUUCAUAAGAGACAGAGAGAGGCAGAGACACAGGCAGAGGGAGAAGCAGGCUCCAUGCAGCGAGCCCAAGGUGGGACUCGAUCCUGGGUCUCUAGGAUCACGCCCUGGGCCAAAGUCAGCACUAAACCGCUGAGCCACCAGGGGUUCCUGAUGCUUAACCAUUUGAGCCACCCAGGUGCCCCUGGACUGGUGAUUAUUCACAAAAACAGGCAGGUGCCUGUUGCAGUGCUCACACACAAAAGCCAGGCAAGGAGCGGGCUUCAGGACGCCUGGGUGACUCAUUGGCUGAGCAUCUGACUUCAGCUCAGGCGUGAUCCUGAGAUCCCAGAAUUGAGUGCCACAUCAGGCUCCUGAGGAGCCUGCCUCUCUCUCUGCCUAUGUCUCUGCCCUUCUCUUUUCUUUGUGUGUCUCUUGAAUAAAUAAAUAUAAUCUUAAAAAAAAAAAAAAAAGGAACGGGCUUUGCUACAUAUUCCCAGGUCGGUAAUACAUCACCCAAGUGUCCUGAAGAGAAGACAUCACCAUGAAGAUUCAGUCCUUCAUUUCUGGGUAAUAAAAUUUCUAGAGAUCUUGCUAAUCUUAAUGCAACGCUGGUAAGGCAAACAAAUUUUUAAUAAUACUAACAGAUGAAGUCACAAUUUUGUAAUGACAGGACUAGGUUAAUCAAUUAUAAAAAAAACCCAAAGAUGGGUUUUGGAAUACCCUUCAGCAAGACUUUAAAAAUGCAUUGUUAUAGGGGCACCUGGCUGGCUUAGCCAGUAGAGCAUGCGACUUUUUUAGGGAGAGAGAAAGUGCAUGUGCACAGGGUAGGGGAUGGGGGAGGGUAGGGAGGUGGGUGAGGAGAGGGAGAGAAUCCUAAGCAGACUCCCCACUGAGCAUAGAGCCUAAUGCGGGGCUUGAUCCCACAACCCUGAGACCGUGACCUGAAACCAAGAGUCAGAUGCUUAACCAGCUGCACCCCCUAGGUGUCCUGAGCAUGUGACUCUUGAUCUCAGGGUUGUAAGUCUGAGCCCCACGUUGCAUGUAGAGAUUACUUAAAAAUAAAAUAUUUUUUAAAAGAU
Long non-coding RNA from Nyctereutes procyonoides (raccoon dog), 3169 nucleotides. RefSeq lists it as uncharacterized. NCBI's taxonomy places the organism in Eukaryota, Metazoa, Chordata, Mammalia, Carnivora, Canidae. The record is from RefSeq and is a predicted model, not a curated record. The transcript has 5 exons.